GCACUCGCUUCGGCAGCACAUACACUAAAACUGGAACUAUCAGAGAAGAUUAGCAUGGCCCCUGUGCAAGGUUGGCAACCAAAUUUAUGAAGUAUUCUAUAUUUUA
This 106-nucleotide small nuclear RNA is filed under the name Neotoma lepida (desert woodrat). Lineage: Eukaryota; Metazoa; Chordata; Mammalia; Rodentia; Cricetidae. The record is from RNAcentral.